AUAGCGGCCGGGAACCACCUGAUCCCAUCCCGAACUCAGAAGUGAAACCUGCCUGCGCCGAUGGUACUUUGUCUUAAGGCACGGGAGAGUAGGGCACCGCCGGGC
This 105-nucleotide ribosomal RNA is filed under the name Thalassospira sp. Lineage: Bacteria; Pseudomonadati; Pseudomonadota; Alphaproteobacteria; Rhodospirillales; Thalassospiraceae. The record is from RNAcentral.